This 403-nucleotide ribosomal RNA is filed under the name Verrucomicrobiota bacterium. RNAcentral describes it as "Verrucomicrobia bacterium partial 16S ribosomal RNA". It matches the Rfam family "Bacterial small subunit ribosomal RNA", at positions 355 to 776 of the family's 1533-position model. The record is from RNAcentral. Lineage: Bacteria; Pseudomonadati; Verrucomicrobiota.
UGGGGAAUAUUGCACAAUGGGCGCAAGCCUGAUGCAGCAACGCCGCGUGAACGAUGAAGGUCUUCGGAUCGUAAAGUUCUGUUGCAGGGGAAGAUAAUGACGGUACCCUGUGAGGAAGCCCCGGCUAACUACGUGCCAGCAGCCGCGGUAAUACGUAGGGGGCUAGCGUUAUCCGGAUUUACUGGGCGUAAAGGGUGCGUAGGUGGUCCUUCAAGUCGGUGGUUAAAGGCUACGGCUCAACCGUAGUAAGCCGCCGAAACUGGAGGACUUGAGUGCAGGAGAGGAAAGUGGAAUUCCCAGUGUAGCGGUGAAAUGCGUAGAUAUUGGGAGGAACACCAGUAGCGAAGGCGGCUUUCUGAACUGCAACUGACACUGAGGCACGAAAGCGUGGGUAGCAAACAGG